Amphimedon queenslandica is the source of this 261-nucleotide long non-coding RNA. RefSeq lists it as uncharacterized. The record is from RefSeq and is a predicted model, not a curated record. The transcript is spliced from 2 exons. NCBI's taxonomy places the organism in Eukaryota, Metazoa, Porifera, Demospongiae, Haplosclerida, Niphatidae.
GUUGGACCCCCCUUAUUUUGGACCGGGGGUCCAAGCGCUCGCGAGUAGUUGGACCCCCCUUUAGUGUAGUUGGACCCCCCCGCUUGCGCAGCCAGCACUAAGUCAGGUCGCAAUCACGCACUGACUUACCAGCUGUACUGCUAUGGAAGACUUUGAGUUGGUUUAUACCGAAAAUGAUGAGACUUUCGACACAUUUGAUGACCUUAGCAAGGAUGAAGAUACUGACAGUGAUACACAAAGGCUCUGACAUAGAUGCAGAUA